GCUCUCUUAGCUCAGUUGGUUAGUGCAUGGAACUCUGUAUUUUGCCUGAACCCCCGAGGUCGCGCGUUCGAUUCUCUCAGGAAGCA
This is a non-coding RNA of Mycena alexandri, 86 nucleotides long. Lineage: Eukaryota; Fungi; Basidiomycota; Agaricomycetes; Agaricales; Mycenaceae. The record is from the annotation of a GenBank genome assembly.